This 215-nucleotide long non-coding RNA is filed under the name Homo sapiens (human). Its description in RNAcentral is "non-protein coding lnc-GLUD1-11:1". Lineage: Eukaryota; Metazoa; Chordata; Mammalia; Primates; Hominidae. The record is from RNAcentral.
CAGGCCGCCCCGGGGUGGGGCCACGUGGCUUCAGACCAGAGAGCGGAGCUACCUUGGCCCAAGCGCUGCAGCUGCCUGAACCCCCGGGCUUCGCAGCCUUGCUUGUUUUCUCUGAACCGCAAUAGGAUGGUGUUCGCAGCGAUUCAAAGGGUGGCACUGGGUUGGACGUUUUGGUUACGAGCCAGCCUAUUCCCACAUUGUACGUGAAUGUUUAA